This 399-nucleotide long non-coding RNA is filed under the name Coturnix japonica (Japanese quail). RNAcentral's name for it is "lncRNA (ENSCJPG00005000951.1)". Lineage: Eukaryota; Metazoa; Chordata; Aves; Galliformes; Phasianidae. The record is from RNAcentral.
AUGUGGACAUUAAAUAUUGGGGGGAAAAGAGAAAAUCCACAGCACAUUUUGAAGUCCUUUCAGAACAAAUUUUGUGGAACUUCUCUGCACAUCUUGACUGACGAAUCUGAAUCUUGGUUGCUGGUUGGUGAAAUGAGAAUCUUCAGGCCCAUGGAAGUAUUUCUCAAAGAUGAGGAACCUUUUAUUUUCAGCUGUCUGAGAACUACAUUCAAAAGACAGCGCCUAUGGGACUGCUGGAGCUCUCUCCGAUCCCCAGAGAGACAGCUGAAGCCUUCGGAUAACGGACAGACUUUCUUUGACAUCAGGAAACAAAACAGCAUUUUGAAGGAUAACAGAGAGAGAGUGAAGUCAGAAUGAGUUUUACUUCAAAAUAUUCAAGAAUUCUAUCAAUCAUUCAAG